RNAcentral lists this ribosomal RNA (265 nucleotides) under uncultured bacterium. Its description in RNAcentral is "partial 16S ribosomal RNA". It matches the Rfam family "Bacterial small subunit ribosomal RNA", at positions 793 to 1055 of the family's 1533-position model. The record is from RNAcentral.
GUCCACGCCCUAAACGAUGUCAACUGGUUGUUGGGGGUUUGACACUCUCAGUAACGAAGCUAACGCGUGAAGUUGACCGCCUGGGGAGUACGGCCGCAAGGUUAAAACUCAAAGGAAUUGACGGGGACCCGCACAAGCGGUGGAUUAUGUGGAUUAAUUCGAUGCAACGCGAAAAACCUUACCUACCCUUGACAUGUCCUGGAGGCCCCUGAGAGGGGGCUGUGCCCGAAAGGGAACGGGAACACAGGUGCUGCAUGGCUGUCGU